Molecule: ribosomal RNA, 301 nt
Filed under: uncultured bacterium
Lineage: Bacteria
Description: partial 16S ribosomal RNA
Rfam family: Bacterial small subunit ribosomal RNA
Source: RNAcentral
CAGCCGCCGCGGUAAUACAGAGGGUGCGAGCGUUAAUCGGAUUUACUGGGCGUAAAGCGUGCGUAGGCGGCUUCUUAAGUCGGAUGUGAAAUCCCUGAGCUUAACUUAGGAAUUGCAUUCGAUACUGGGAAGCUAGAGUAUGGGAGAGGAUGGUAGAAUUCCAGGUGUAGCGGUGAAAUGCGUAGAGAUCUGGAGGAAUACCGAUGGCGAAGGCAGCCAUCUGGCCUAAUACUGACGCUGAGGUACGAAAGCAUGGGGAGCAAACAGGAUUAGAUACCCCAGUAGUCCCUGUCUCUUAACA